RNAcentral lists this long non-coding RNA (4014 nucleotides) under Ailuropoda melanoleuca (giant panda). Its description in RNAcentral is "lncRNA (ENSAMEG00000027591.1)". The record is from RNAcentral. Lineage: Eukaryota; Metazoa; Chordata; Mammalia; Carnivora; Ursidae.
CGCCUUCCUGCCGCUGCCGCGCGCCUUGGGGCUUGCUCCCCUCUCCGGUCAACUUUCCCCAAAGUCGCCGCCGCCUCCCGAGUGCAGACGCUUCCUACUCGAGCCCAGAGCCAGCCCUGGCUUCUGAGCAUGCCCAGUCCGCCGCUCCGGCGCCGACUUUCGGUGCAGCUCGCACUUCUCGGGCCGCCGGAGAGGCUGAGCGUGGGGACCGCGAGACAGCAGGUCCAAGCCGGGACUGAGUCGAGGCGCGGCGAGCGCAGGGCCGGAGGCGGGCGCAGGGCGGCGGGCGCCGGAGGAAGCGGGCGCUGCGCCUGGGGCUCCUGAUAAGCCGCGCGGCGGGGCGGAGCGGGCGGGCGCGCCACUUCGGGGUGGGGAGGUGGGGGAGACGCCGCGGAGGACCCCGCGCAGACCGGGGAGGCGCCAGCCGGGGGACACCACCCCCCUCCCGCCCUGGCACCCCCGCCUCGAGGCCGCUGGGCUACGGUCCUGGCCGCGUCCUCGGGCAGAGCGGGCUCGGCAUCCGAAAAGCUCCGGGGUCCGGAGGUGCUCCGGCCGCCGGCCUCCCCAGCAGAGGCUCCCGAGCUGCGUGGCCGCGUCUCCCCUCGCUCACGCCACCCUGCCCACGGGGAGCGCCUCGCACAGGUGGCUGGCGCUGGAGAAGAAACUUGCCUCCCGCUGGAGAGGAGCCCGCGCCCGGGAGGGCUCCGUGACGCGCAGCUUAAAAUGAUGGCAUGUUAUUAUGGAGCCUGAAGUGGUGUUCAUGAAAACCCAAGCACUGUCUGCCAAAAAGAACACUUCUCUGGACUCUUCAGGAAGCUGCUCAUUUCCAAAUAAUGUUUCCAAAUAAUAGAAGAAAUGACAUGUUUUUAAGAAGAAUAGAAUUUGGUUUUCCAUAUUUUUUUCAUAAAUGGCGAAUUUUAAAAUGCAUAAAAUGGAAUUUAAAAUACUUUGUUCACGAAAUAUCAUUUUGCUACAUUUUAAGCCCAGUGAAUGUAUACAUGAGGACACAAUAUUGUAAUAUCUCUCCUGACUAAUAAAUUUAUUUUCUCAGUCCUAUUUCAGUGGUUAAUCUCGUAUGUAAAGACACACCAUUUCGUAAGUUAAUACAUCAGUCUUUUCCACAGGAUCGUCAAACUAUUUGAGACAGUAAUUCUGCGUUUGAGAGCAUGUUUGACAUCAUGCAGCGUAUAGAAGAACAGCUCUGUAGUCAAUGCCUUUUGGUUGCUGAUCUUACAUCGCAUUUAACAGCUGAUAAAACUCGGCCACUUUCAACCUACAUGUUUUGUAAUCCACAUUGAGCGUAAAAACUAAAACUACAUUUUGCUAGUGAACUGACUACAAUCGGUAAAGUGAGAAAGUACUGAAGAUGUAAGAAAGAUAAUAAAAUGGAAGUUUGAGUGAAAUGGGCUUUUAUCGCUGAGUCGAAUGAAUGCAUGAGGCAACAGAAAGCUAGCAAGGCAUUUGUUUGCGCUGUGAGAAUGUCGGAGAUCGGGAAGACAGGGGAGGUUGCAGGCAAGAGCAAAAAGACUUAGUAGGGAAGCGUACAGAGAGCUUCAUCCUCAUGAACUUAAUGCCCAAGUAGACAGCCCCUAACUUCUAAUUCUCUUGAUAUUGUGACUUUUAUACGAUCAUCAUGAGAUGAUUGUGGUGGAAAUCCAGAAAUCCACCUUUAGCGAUGGGCAAGUGAAGUGGUAGGCUGGUAAAGCAAGUGGAUAUCAUUCUAGGGUGAAGACGUGGGACUGAUAUUUAUGAAGCCAUUACCCAUGGACCAAGAAUAGAGACCCAAGUUGGGGCCCAGGAGACACAUAUUUUCACUAUGCAUUUGUAACCAACUGUAAAAUUACGUCACCUUGCCCAAUCCACAUAUUUUAAAGGAUUCAGUAAUUUCUCCCUGGUCCAGACUGUAUUUUUUAAAAAUCAUUUUUCAAAGCACAAAGCACAGGCAUUUGCUCUCAUAGGUAAGAAUGCCCCAUAAAAAAUAAAUAUCAAAUAGAGACUUUUUUACCCUUUUUUGGUAUUAGAAUAUUCAAUGUCUAUCUUGAGUCACUGAAUUAUGUGAGAAUGUUUUUACUCAAAUAUCAAAGUUAAUUUAGGGAGCUAUUACAGAAAAUUCAUCUAAGUUUUCCAUAGAAUACAGUACAGCCACAAUUCUCACCAUCUAUCUUUCUUAGAAAAGCAUCUAUGUUGAAUACCAUUUUAAGUGGAAAAAAUGACAGAGAAAUCUUCAAAACAUUUAUUUGUGGAAUGUUAAAAGCAAUUGCUGCUGUUAGGAACAUACAGAACUUAGUGGAAAUUGCUUAUUUUCACUUUGCAGUUUCCACUGGUCAGACCCUCUAUCCGUACACUGCAAGUAACAUUCUCUGGGCAGUCAGCGAACGGAAACUUAGCUAAUAUCACAGCAUUACCACAUGCACCCCAUUAUUUAAUUUAGUUACUCUCUGCCUGUAUCACUAGCACUCCCAAAAUACAGAGAACUAAAAGACGGUUAGCACUGGCUGGGAUGGACACCCCACCCUUCCCCACCUGCAAAAAAAAAAAAAAAAAAAAAAAAAAAAAAGAAAGAAAAAAGAAAAAAGAAAAGAAUGAAAGNCAUAAUGGAUGUCACAGAAUUGAGCUGAAAUGUACCACUGAGAUUAUGUAAUUCAAUAUCCUAAUUUUAAAUUUAAGGAAAUUCGAAGGCCAAGGAAGUCAAAUGACUCACCCAAGGCAGAAGCAAGUUUAGAACCCAACUGAGCCCAUUCCUAGCACCCUGUUCUUAAAGUUACCUUAUUCUUUCACUUCAUGCUUUAUGAUUAGUGCACACAGAACCUGAUUCAGUUCAUAUGAAAAUCCCACCAACUAUCUCUUCAUAGGUAAUAGCUGUUAAGGUCAAUUGAGAACACUUUAUUUUGUGCAGAAAACAAAAUAUAUCAAAAAGUCUUUAAAAUAUCUAAUUAGUUCUAUAUGCCUCUCCCUAUACUCAAACUGUAAGUAACUGUUGUUCUAUGGAAACCGACUCGACCGUGUGUGUGUGUUGUGUGUGUGUGUGUGUGUGUGUGUAUACACUUGCACAUGCUUCAAAGUCAGGCAUAUGCCAGAGGUGUGAUAUUUAAACCACACCCUCCUAAUCAACCCUCAUUUAUGUCAAAGUAGAGGUGAGCAUGCGAGGUGAAUAUACCCGGGGAAACAGAGAAAACCACCUCACUUACUUUUUCAUUUUUCAGACACAGUAGCUCAGGUCUCUCUUCCCAUCACAGGGUUUUUAAAAUCUUUGUGACAAAAGACAGCAUUACCAAGACAGAGAAAAUUUCUCUCCCAUUCGUACAAAUUAAAAGGUAACACCUUAAACCUAACAUAGAACUCUCGAGAUACAGAUGGUGAUACUUGUUUGAGUCCCUGAAAUCGUGCAGUCUUAGACCACUGGAGAUGUCUAUAUAGCAUAAUAACUUCAGAAAAUGCCAAAAGAUGAUUUUGUUCAUUUAGUAUUUCUCAGUGGAGUACUCUAAGAAUUUUCACAAAAAGACAGUAAAGACAUAUUUCAAUGCACACUGAAACAUAUAGCAUUUAAAAUCUUAUUACAUUAGUAUUUUCCUAAAAAUACUUUUGUACUUUCAUAUUCUCAGUAUAUGUUCUUUUAAUCACCAAUCUAUUUACACAGCGAAUUUUUAACAUAUUAUAUGACUUUCAUAUUCGGCAACCAGGGAAUAUCCAAUUGUGAGAAAUCAGAAUAAUUAAUGAAGAAAACACAAAAAAACAAGAAGCAUAUGGUAACAGCUGGUGGAAUACUAAACUCAGUGGUCAGUGAACAGCCUUGCUAGCAAGCCCAUAACUCUAACUGAGAGCUCUCACCAAUCAAGUAUAUACUACAACUCAGUGUUUCCUUCAAGUGUGAACUAAAGAAUACUGGUUUCUUAAAAAAAAAAGAGGGAGGGUUUCCACAGUCAAAAAUGCUUGGGGAACACUGAGGAAAGUUCAGUAAAUCAGAUUUCUUUCUGAAUUAUUUCAUAUAACUUCCAAAUUUCCGAUAUAUAUUUG